UACGGGGGGAGCAAACGUUGUUCGGAAUCACUGGGCGUAAAGGGAGCGUAGGCGGCCAUGUAAGUGAGGUGUUAAAUCCCCCGGCUCAACCGGGGACCUGCACCUCAUACUGCACGGCUUGAGUACAUCAGAGGAGACUGGAAUUCCCGGUGUAGCGGUGAAAUGCGUAGAUAUCUGGAGGAACACCGGUGGCGAAGGCGGCAUCCUGGACCGGUAUUGACGCUGAGGCGCGAAAGCGUGGGGAGCGAACCGG
This 253-nucleotide ribosomal RNA is filed under the name uncultured bacterium. RNAcentral describes it as "partial 16S ribosomal RNA". It matches the Rfam family "Bacterial small subunit ribosomal RNA", at positions 524 to 776 of the family's 1533-position model. The record is from RNAcentral.